CCCUACGGGAGGCAGCAGUGAGGAAUAUUGGUCAAUGGGCGGGAGCCUGAACCAGCCAAGUCGCGUGAGGGAAGAAGGUACUGAGUAUUGUAAACCUCUUUUGCCAGGGGACAAAGGCGGCCACGGGUGGCCGUAAGAGGGUACCUGGAGAAAAAGCAUCGGCUAACUCCGUGCCAGCAGCCGCGGUAAUACGUAGGUGGCAAGCGUUGUCCGGAUUUACUGGGUGUAAAGGGCGUGCAGCCGGAGAGACAAGUCAGAUGUGAAAUCCACGGGCUCAACCCGUGAACUGCAUUUGAAACUGUUUC
This 305-nucleotide ribosomal RNA is filed under the name uncultured bacterium. RNAcentral's name for it is "bacterial SSU rRNA". It matches the Rfam family "Bacterial small subunit ribosomal RNA", at positions 337 to 639 of the family's 1533-position model. The record is from RNAcentral.